Molecule: long non-coding RNA, 994 nt
Filed under: Homo sapiens (human)
Lineage: Eukaryota; Metazoa; Chordata; Mammalia; Primates; Hominidae
Description: HSALNT0093490
Source: RNAcentral
CAGGACACGUGGCUGAGAAAGAGAAGGGAAGGUGGAGCCGCCAUGUUGAACAUGUCUAGUCCCUAGUUCCUGCUGGUAUUCACCAGUGCAAGCUCCCAGCUUGCUUGCCUAUGUCUGCAGCUUGACUUUACAGGCUGCUCUUCGGUAGAAAAUGAUUUGGGGCUGCUUUUCCUUAAAAAGAAAAGCCUUACGAGGACUCCCAUACCCUUACUAUCUGCCUAAGUGAUUUCUUCUUAACUCCUGUAUCGUUUUGCACUGACCGUACCAUCUCAAGGGACUCAGUAAAUGAAAAAAAGAUAGUGACAUUGCCAGAAUGUGGGUAAUGAACAUUGCCAUUCUUUCCUGAUUCUGCACCUGGAUUCCAGCAAGUUAUGAGGAUGAAUCUAAAUGAAAUAAAUGGAAGGAAAAAGAGUCCCAGAUGUUUGUAGAGAGCAUGUAUAAUUACACUGAGUAUAAAUGAGAAAAUUCUAGCAGAUACGUACAUUGACUUCUGAAAAGAUAAAGAGGCUUCUGUUUUCUUUAUAAAUAAAAUAUGGCAGCUGUACCCUGGAGAGAUUUUGUCUUCAGAACAACAGAUAUCGUCUCUAGAAUUUAUCAAAAAGAUCAUUUUAGUUGUGUGGUACUGCAGUAAAGGAUGGGAGAAAAAAGAUCAAUGAUAAUGUAUGAUCAUACUGCUAUAGAAAGUGUCAAAUGAAAUGCACAGGAUUAUGCUAAACACAGGAAGAUGCUCAUGCUGAAAUGCACAAGGGGAUGAAGACUCAUUUGGAAGAUAGCAAAUUUGUGUCUCCCAUCUCAUGCCUAAGCUUAUGCAAAAAGGGAGUGAUUUUUCCAACUAUUUAAAUUGAUAUUUUAGUCCCAUUCACAUCUUUUUGAAAUGCAGUGUUGAGUUAGUACAAGUGAAAUGUGUGUUCAGCUUGAUGCCAGUUUGCUUCCUAUGUUUUAAGUUAGAUUUUGAAAAAUUCUACCAACUUGCAUGUAAUUGAAGAAUCCCACA